UAGUGGAACGCUCUGGGAAGUGCGAACGUAGAGGGUGAUAUUCCCGUACACGAAAGGGCACACAUAAUGAUGACGAGUAGGGCGAGGCACGUGAAACCUUGUCUGAAUAUGGGGGGACCAUCCUCCAAGGCUAAAUACUCCUGACUGACCGAUAGUGAACCAGUACCGUGAGGGAAAGGCGAAAAGAACCCCUGUGAGGGGAGUGAAAUAGAUCCUGAAACCGCAUGCAUACAAGCAGUGGGAGCACCUUCGUGGUGUGACUGCGUACCUUUUGUAUAAUGGGUCAGCGACUUAUAUUCAGUAGCGAGGUUAACCGUAUAGGGGAGCCGUAGAGAAAUCGAGUCUUAAUAGGGCGUUUAGUUGCUGGGUAUAGACCCGAAACCAGGCGAUCUAUCCAUGAGCAGGUUGAAGGUUGGGUAACACUAACUGGAGGACCGAACCCACUGUCGUUGAAAAGCCAGGGGAUGACUUGUGGAUAGGGGUGAAAGGCUAAUCAAGCCUGGUGAUAGCUGGUUCUCCCCGAAAGCUAUUUAGGUAGCGCCUCGGACGAAUACCAUAGGGGGUAGAGCACUGUUUCGGCUAGGGGGUCAUCCCGACUUACCAAACCGAUGCAAACUCCGAAUACCUAUGAGUACUAUCCGGGAGACAGACUGCGGGUGCUAACGUCCGUAGUCAAGAGGAAAACAAUCCAGACCGCCAGCUAAGGCCCCAAAAUCAUAGUUAAGUGGGAAACGAUGUGGGAAGGCAUAGACAGCUAGGAGGUUGGCUUAGAAGCAGCCACCCUUUAAAGAAAGCGUAAUAGCUCACUAGUCGAGUCGGCCUGCGCGGAAGAUGUAACGGGGCUAAAACUAUGUGCCGAAGCUGCGGAUGUAUACUUUGUAUACGUGGUAGGGGAGCGUUCUGUAAGCCGAUGAAGGUGUGUUGAGAAGCAUGCUGGAGGUAUCAGAAGUGCGAAUGCUGACGUGAGUAACGACAAAACGGGUGAAAAACCCGUUCGCCGAAAGACCAAGGGUUCCAGUCCAACGUUAAUCGGGGCUGGGUGAGUCGACCCCUAAGGCGAGGCCGAAAGGCGUAGUCGAUGGGAAAAUGGUUAAUAUUCCAUUACUUCUGUGUAAUGCGAUGAGAGGACGGAGAAGGCUAAAUCAGCCUGGCGUUGGUUGUCCAGGUGAAAGGAUGUAGGCAUGUAUCUUAGGCAAAUCCGGGGUACUCUAUGCUGAGAUCUGAUAGCAAGCUGUACUUGUACAGCGAAGUGGUUGAUGCCAUGCUUCCAGGAAAAGUCUCUAAGCUUCAGUUACACAGGAAUCGUACCCGAAACCGACACAGGUGGUCAGGUCGAGUAGACCAAGGCGCUUGAGAGAACUCUGCUGAAGGAACUAGGCAAAAUGGUACCGUAACUUCGGGAGAAGGUACGCUGUUGUUGGUGAUGGAACU
This 1431-nucleotide ribosomal RNA is filed under the name Acinetobacter baumannii. RNAcentral's name for it is "partial 23S ribosomal RNA". It matches the Rfam family "Bacterial large subunit ribosomal RNA", at positions 330 to 1768 of the family's 2925-position model. Lineage: Bacteria; Pseudomonadati; Pseudomonadota; Gammaproteobacteria; Moraxellales; Moraxellaceae. The record is from RNAcentral.